RNAcentral lists this long non-coding RNA (313 nucleotides) under Elaeis guineensis (African oil palm). RNAcentral's name for it is "long non-coding RNA (EGUI_LNC034976)". The record is from RNAcentral. Lineage: Eukaryota; Viridiplantae; Streptophyta; Magnoliopsida; Arecales; Arecaceae.
ACAACUCAGGUGAAAUUUUCAAUACUUUUUCUCAAUGUGUCCAUGGAGGUUGUGGUGUUUGUAGUAAUUUCUCUGAAUCAUGUUGGCCUGUUUCUUCUAGUGCUUACCCUUCUAGUUUAUUUUUUGUUGUAUUCUUUUUAAACUUGUCGUGCUCUUGCCUUCUCUAGUUGUAUUAUUAUCCUCAAUCCCCAUAGCUUUCAUGCGAGCUUCAUUGAUGUUUUAAACUUCAAAGAACUUCAAUGCCUUUCGGAUAUUCUUGUGGAGACCUUUGACGACCUUUAUGAAAAUCGUAUGAUUGCCGAUAAAGAUGCCG